AGUCAAGUAAUUAAGUGCAUGUGGUGGAUGCCUUGGCAGUCAGAGGCGAUGAAAGACGUGAUAGCCUGCGAAAAGCUCCGGGGAGGCGGGCAAAUAUCCUUUGAUCCGGAGAUGUCUGAAUGGGGGAACCCACCUACUUUAAGGUAGGUAUUGCAACAUGAAUACAUAGUGUUGCAAGGCGAACGAGGGGAAGUGAAACAUCUCAGUACCCUUAGGAAAAGAAAUCAAUUGAGAUUCCCUCAGUAGCGGCGAGCGAACGGGGAUCAGCCCAUUAAGUUAUGUGUGUUUUAGUGGAACGCUCUGGGAAGUGCGAACGUAGAGGGUGAUAUUCCCGUACACGAAAGGGCACACAUAAUGAUGACGAGUAGGGCGAGGCACGUGAAACCUUGUCUGAAUAUGGGGGGACCAUCCUCCAAGGCUAAAUACUCCUGACUGACCGAUAGUGAACCAGUACCGUGAGGGAAAGGCGAAAAGAACCCCUGUGAGGGGAGUGAAAUAGAUCCUGAAACCGCAUGCAUACAAGCAGUGGGAGCACCUUCGUGGUGUGACUGCGUACCUUUUGUAUAAUGGGUCAGCGACUUAUAUUCAGUAGCGAGGUUAACCGUAUAGGGGAGCCGUAGAGAAAUCGAGUCUUAAUAGGGCGUUUAGUUGCUGGGUAUAGACCCGAAACCAGGCGAUCUAUCCAUGAGCAGGUUGAAGGUUGGGUAACACUAACUGGAGGACCGAACCCACUGUCGUUGAAAAGCCAGGGGAUGACUUGUGGAUAGGGGUGAAAGGCUAAUCAAGCCUGGUGAUAGCUGGUUCUCCCCGAAAGCUAUUUAGGUAGCGCCUCGGACGAAUACCAUAGGGGGUAGAGCACUGUUUCGGCUAGGGGGUCAUCCCGACUUACCAAACCGAUGCAAACUCCGAAUACCUAUGAGUACUAUCCGGGAGACAGACUGCGGGUGCUAACGUCCGUAGUCAAGAGGAAAACAAUCCAGACCGCCAGCUAAGGCCCCAAAAUCAUAGUUAAGUGGGAAACGAUGUGGGAAGGCAUAGACAGCUAGGAGGUUGGCUUAGAAGCAGCCACCCUUUAAAGAAAGCGUAAUAGCUCACUAGUCGAGUCGGCCUGCGCGGAAGAUGUAACGGGGCUAAAACUAUGUGCCGAAGCUGCGGAUGUAUACUUUGUAUACGUGGUAGGGGAGCGUUCUGUAAGCCGAUGAAGGUGUGUUGAGAAGCAUGCUGGAGGUAUCAGAAGUGCGAAUGCUGACGUGAGUAACGACAAAACGGGUGAAAAACCCGUUCGCCGAAAGACCAAGGGUUCCAGUCCAACGUUAAUCGGGGCUGGGUGAGUCGACCCCUAAGGCGAGGCCGAAAGGCGUAGUCGAUGGGAAAAUGGUUAAUAUUCCAUUACUUCUGUGUAAUGCGAUGAGAGGACGGAGAAGGCUAAAUCAGCCUGGCGUUGGUUGUCCAGGUGAAAGGAUGUAGGCAUGUAUCUUAGGCAAAUCCGGGGUACUCUAUGCUGAGAUCUGAUAGCAAGCUGUACUUGUACAGCGAAGUGGUUGAUGCCAUGCUUCCAGGAAAAGUCUCUAAGCUUCAGUUACACAGGAAUCGUACCCGAAACCGACACAGGUGGUCAGGUCGAGUAGACCAAGGCGCUUGAGAGAACUCUGCUGAAGGAACUAGGCAAAAUGGUACCGUAACUUCGGGAGAAGGUACGCUGUUGUUGGUGAUGGAACUCGCUUCCUGAGCUGACGACAGCCGCAGAAACCAGGCCGCUGCAACUGUUUAUUAAAAACAUAGCACUCUGCAAACACGAAAGUGGACGUAUAGGGUGUGAUGCCUGCCCGGUGCUGGAAGGUUAAUUGAUGGGGUUAGCGUAAGCGAAGCUCUUGAUCGAAGCCCCAGUAAACGGCGGCCGUAACUAUAACGGUCCUAAGGUAGCGAAAUUCCUUGUCGGGUAAGUUCCGACCUGCACGAAUGGCAUAAUGAUGGCGGCGCUGUCUCCAGCAGAGGCUCAGUGAAAUCGAAAUCGCUGUGAAGAUGCAGUGUACCCGCGGCUAGACGGAAAGACCCCGUGAACCUUUACUGCAGCUUGACACUGAACUUUGACCUUACUUGUGUAGGAUAGGUGGGAGGCUUUGAAGCUGGAACGCUAGUUCCAGUGGAGCCGUCCUUGAAAUACCACCCUGGUAAUGUUGAGGUUCUAACUCUGUCCCGUGAUCCGGGACGAGGACCGUGUCUGGUGGGUAGUUUGACUGGGGCGGUCUCCUCCUAAAGAGUAACGGAGGAGUACGAAGGUGCGCUCAGCGUGGUCGGAAAUCACGCGUAGAGUAUAAAGGCAAAAGCGCGCUUAACUGCGAGACCCACAAGUCGAGCAGGUACGAAAGUAGGUCUUAGUGAUCCGGUGGUUCUGUAUGGAAGGGCCAUCGCUCAACGGAUAAAAGGUACUCUGGGGAUAACAGGCUGAUACCGCCCAAGAGUUCAUAUCGACGGCGGUGUUUGGCACCUCGAUGUCGGCUCAUCUCAUCCUGGGGCUGAAGCAGGUCCCAAGGGUAUGGCUGUUCGCCAUUUAAAGAGGUACGCGAGCUGGGUUUAGAACGUCGUGAGACAGUUCGGUCCCUAUCUACCGUGGGCGCUGGAAAUUUGAGAGGAUCUGCUCCUAGUACGAGAGGACCAGAGUGGACGAACCUCUGGUGUACCGGUUGUGACGCCAGUCGCAUCGCCGGGUAGCUAUGUUCGGAAGGGAUAACCGCUGAAAGCAUCUAAGCGGGAAGCCUACCUCAAGAUAAGAUUUCCCUAGGACUUUAUGUCCUCUAAAGAGCCGUUCGAGACUAGGACGUUGAUAGGUUGGAUGUGGAAGCAUAGUGAUAUGUGAAGCUGACCAAUACUAAUUGCUCGUGAGGCUUGACUAUACAACACCC
RNAcentral lists this ribosomal RNA (2903 nucleotides) under Acinetobacter baumannii IS-123. RNAcentral describes it as "bacterial LSU rRNA". It matches the Rfam family "Bacterial large subunit ribosomal RNA". The record is from RNAcentral. Lineage: Bacteria; Pseudomonadati; Pseudomonadota; Gammaproteobacteria; Moraxellales; Moraxellaceae.